Molecule: non-coding RNA, 124 nt
Organism: Dacryopinax sp.
Lineage: Eukaryota; Fungi; Basidiomycota; Dacrymycetes; Dacrymycetales; Dacrymycetaceae
Source: Rfam
UUGAGCUGUAUGCGAUGAAAGUCGCACGUACAGUUCUUAGAAGAAAUAAAUAUUGUAAAAUAUUUAUUAGGCUUCAACAGACCCUAUGCAAUUUUACUAUAGUUAGUUAUAGUUCUAUUCAGAU